Molecule: ribosomal RNA, 460 nt
Filed under: uncultured bacterium
Lineage: Bacteria
Description: partial 16S ribosomal RNA
Rfam family: Bacterial small subunit ribosomal RNA
Source: RNAcentral
CCUACGGGCGGCAGCAGUGAGGAAUAUUGGUCAAUGGACGAGAGUCUGAACCAGCCAAGUAGCGUGAAGGAUGACUGCCCUAUGGGUUGUAAACUUCUUUUAUAAAGGAAUAAAACGAGGCACGUGUGCCUUUUUGCAUGUACUUUAUGAAUAAGGAUCGGCUAACUCCGUGCCAGCAGCCGCGGUAAUCAGGAGGAUCCGAGCGUUUUCCGGAUUUAUUGGGUUUAAAGGGAGCGUAGAUGGGUUGUUAAGUCAGUUGUUAAAGUUUGCGGCUCAACCGUAAAAUUGCAAUUGAUACUGGCAGUCUUGAGUACAGUUGAGGUAGGCGGAAUUCGUGGUGUAGCGGUGAAAUGCUUAGAUAUCACGAAGAACCCCGAUUGCGAAGGCAGCUUACUAAACUGUGACUGACAUUGAUGCUCGAAAGUGUGGGUAUCAAACAGGAUUAGAUACCCGGGUAGUC